Molecule: ribosomal RNA, 401 nt
Filed under: uncultured bacterium
Lineage: Bacteria
Description: partial 16S ribosomal RNA
Rfam family: Archaeal small subunit ribosomal RNA
Source: RNAcentral
ACACCGGCGGCUCGAGUGGUAACCGUUAUUAUUGGGUCUAAAGGGUCUGUAGCCGGCCGGAUAAGUCUCUUGAGAAAUCUGGCAGCUUAACUGUCAGGCUUUCAGGAGAUACUGUCUGGCUCGAGGCCGGGAGAGGUGAGAGGUACUUCAGGGGUAGGGGUGAAAUCUUGUAAUCCUUGAAGGACCACCAGUGGCGAAGGCGUCUCACCAGAACGGUCCUGACGGCAAGGGACGAAAGCUAGGGGCACGAACCGGAUUAGAUCCCCGGGUAGUCCUAGCCGUAAACGAUACUCGCUAGGUGUCGGCCACGGUGCGACCGUUGUCGGUGCCGUAGGGAAGCCGUGAAGCGAGCCACCUGGGAAGUACGGCCGCAAGGCUGAAACUUAAAGGAAUUGGCGGGG